GACGAACGCUGGCGGCGUGCUUAACACAUGCAAGUCGAACGGAAAGGCCCUGCUUUUGUGGGGUGCUCGAGUGGCGAACGGGUGAGUAACACGUGAGUAACCUGCCCUUGACUUUGGGAUAACUUCAGGAAACUGGGGCUAAUACCGGAUAGGAGCUCCUGCUGCAUGGUGGGGGUUGGAAAGUUUCGGCGGUUGGGGAUGGACUCGCGGCUUAUCAGCUUGUUGGUGGGGUAGUGGCUUACCAAGGCUUUGACGGGUAGCCGGCCUGAGAGGGUGACCGGCCGCAUUGGGAACGCGGAACGGACGAGAGAGUGGAGGGGGAGGGCGGGGGGGAAGGAGGGCAAGUGGGCGGAUGCCGGAGGCAGCAAGGGCGCGUGCGGGCGGGCGCCUGUGGGGUUGUAAACCGCUUGAGCCUGGGAGGAGGGGAGAGUGAUGAGAAGAGGAAAAAAAGCGCCGGCAAACGUCGUGCAAGCGGCCGGGUUAAUAAUAGGAAGGGCAGGCGUCUGAAC
RNAcentral lists this ribosomal RNA (509 nucleotides) under uncultured bacterium. Its description in RNAcentral is "partial 16S ribosomal RNA". It matches the Rfam family "Bacterial small subunit ribosomal RNA", at positions 33 to 541 of the family's 1533-position model. The record is from RNAcentral.